UGUCACGUAGCCAUAUAUUUCGUAAAAUGAUAGAAACCAAUCCUUUAGACCAGAAGAAUAAUACGUUCUAUUACUGGAUCAUCGCAAUAACUAAUUUCCACCUACCAUUGGGAUGGCCUAGAUGUUUUUCCCGUAACAGUAGUAAGUUGUGGGCUAUGUCACGUAGCCAUAUCAUCUAUGAACAGCUCAUAGCCAUCACGUGUAGUAGUUUGUUGAAAAUAUAAUCCACUUCAUUGAUACCUGGCCCCUCUCACUCUCUCAUAAAGUAUCUUGGAGCUUUUGGUGUAAUUGGAUCUUAAUCUACAACCUUCUUUUUUCCCUCUCCUCCAACUUUGCAUCAAUAUAAUAUUUAAAUGUGUAUAGUUUGCUUACAACACCUUUUCAUAGUUGCUCUUAAAAUUUGACGAGCAUUUAUUAGUAUGUCAUUUGUGUACAACACAUGGAACAGAAGAAUAAUGACAUAUAAUGAGUUUUGUUCCCAAGAUCUCAACAGUUUAUUUUCGACGGAAAGUAUAAAGACUACUCCCUCCGUCCUUAAAUAAGUGCACAUAUAGAGAUUUAUUGAGAGAUUAUGGAGUGGAGUAGAAAAUGGAUAGGGAAGUUGCAAGCCACAAUCUCUCUCUAUCAUAAUUCCCCCACCUCCAAUAAGUUAAGUACAUGUAAAAGAUGAGUAUACCAUGUGUUGAUUGUUAUUGAGUCUAUUUCUAGUGUGAUGGGAGAGAAACAUUUUUCUACUUUAAAGUAUAUUGAGAAGGUUGAAGCAUUGUAUAUUGUUUUGUGGACAAAUUUUCAAUGCUAAAGGUCCACCUAUUAAAGGAUGGAGGGAGUACUCAUGUAUCAUGUAGAUGCAUCUUAUUAAUCUAUAGGACUGUGCUAACGUCUAGUCAACCGGACGUUAUCGACAUAUCGAGACGAUUGAUAGAUAUCCACCUUUCUAAUUUACAUGCAUACAUUAGCUCAUCUCAUUUCUUUUUUCAUGUUCAGUGCCGGUGUGUACGUUGUCCACUAACAAUUAGUUUAAUUAGCAACUAAGAUAUGCAUGCAUAAAACACAAAAAUGAUAAUGUCAG
RNAcentral lists this long non-coding RNA (1069 nucleotides) under Hordeum vulgare. RNAcentral's name for it is "long non-coding RNA (HVUL_LNC020357)". The record is from RNAcentral. Lineage: Eukaryota; Viridiplantae; Streptophyta; Magnoliopsida; Poales; Poaceae.